GUAGGGCGCAAGCGUUGUCCGGAAUUAUUGGGCGUAAAGAGCUCGUAGGCGGCUUGUCACGUCGAUUGUGAAAGCCCGAGGCUUAACCUCGGGUCUGCAGUCGAUACGGGCUAGCUAGAGUGUGGUAGGGGAGAUCGGAAUUCCUGGUGUAGCGGUGAAAUGCGCAGAUAUCAGGAGGAACACCGGUGGCGAAGGCGGAUCUCUGGGCCAUUACUGACGCUGAGGAGCGAAAGCGUGGGGAGCGAACAGGAUUAGAUACCCUGGUAGUCCACGCCGUAAACGGUGGGAACUAGGUGUUGGCGACAUUCCACGUCGUCGGUGCCGCAGCUAACGCAUUAAGUUCCCCGCCUGGGGAGUACGGCCGCAAGGCUAAA
Molecule: ribosomal RNA, 374 nt
Filed under: uncultured bacterium
Lineage: Bacteria
Description: bacterial SSU rRNA
Rfam family: Bacterial small subunit ribosomal RNA
Source: RNAcentral